UGGACACAUUUUAACUGCACAAACAUUCUGAUAAUAAAGUGUUCUAAAUGAUGGAUUAUAUCACUUCCUGGAGUUUAUUAUUCAUUAUAUGUUUCCAUGGAGUUUGGAGUGAGAUCAAACUGGAGCAGUCUCCCUCUGAGGUGAAGAGGCCUGGAGAGAGAGUGAAGCUGUCAUGCAUCAUAUCUGGUUAUGACCUGACAGACUACUAUUUGCACUGGAUACGACAGAGGCCAGGGAGAGCUCCGGAGUGGAUUGGGAGGAUGAACACAGGCUCAAACUCUGCUCGCUAUGCCAGUUCUUUCCAAAGUCGUUUCAUCAUGACUGAAGAAGAUUCCAGCAGCAAACAGUACCUUGAAAUCAACAGCCUGACAGCAGAAGAUUCUGCUGUUUACUUCUGUGCCCGACAAAGCACAGUGACAGAAAACAGAAGAACAGCUGUACAAAAACCUCAAAUAGUCAUCUUUCAGUUCAACAUUUUGUAAUUUUCACCCUCUUUGGAGCUAAAAGAGGCCACCCAAACACAUUAGAUAUCAUUGGAAAAGCCAGGCUGUUCUCUAUUGAGAACAUCAGGACUUAUUAGGUUAGCUGAAAUAAGUCAAACGAUAUAGACAAAAAACAAAUAUCUAUUACAGAGGACAUAAAUGAAUAGGCUGGAUGUGAGGAUGAGAUAGCAUGCACGAGAUGUUGAGAUGAUGAUGAUGAUAGAGCAGUUUUACUAACAGAAAGUGAUGUUUUUCUUCUUUAUCAGUUUUCUUUGAAGAGAACCAGGAGCCAGAAUGUCCUUCUAGUGAGUCACACAGAUGAACUUUUACAGCUUUUCAAUUAACGUACAGUAAAAAAAUUAGAUACAGAGGGUCAGAUGGGGUCUUAGAAAAGGACUGAAGUGGAUUCUGACUAAGUUAUUAACUAAUACUAUAUUUUGCCAAUUUAGCACAGGACCAAAAACUCACAGUGAUUGUUGAGUUGUUUGAGCUGCUGUACAACCUCCAACAGUUUUCAUCAGUACAAAAAAAA
Non-coding RNA from Oreochromis aureus, 1014 nucleotides. The record is from the annotation of a RefSeq genome assembly. NCBI's taxonomy places the organism in Eukaryota, Metazoa, Chordata, Actinopteri, Cichliformes, Cichlidae.